Long non-coding RNA from Balaenoptera musculus (blue whale), 5603 nucleotides. RefSeq lists it as uncharacterized. NCBI's taxonomy places the organism in Eukaryota, Metazoa, Chordata, Mammalia, Artiodactyla, Balaenopteridae. The record is from RefSeq and is a predicted model, not a curated record. The transcript is spliced from 4 exons.
AGCUGAGUCUCGGAGAUGGAAUUGGGGCAGGCGCUUGUCACAUAAAGUCCAUGCCCUGCUCGCGGGCUCCUGUCGCAACACUGACAAAUCCGGGAGGCUUCGUGAGAGUGAAAAAAUGAGAGAUGAGGCACCAGAGGUCCCCAGGGAGCAAAUCUGAAAGCUAGCGCCUCCUGAGCACAGGCUGCCAGGGACGAGACGACAUUAGACAUUGUCCCCAGAUAUAAGAAGCAUCACUUCCUUCAGACAGAGCAGAUUGAUAGAUGAAGCAUAAAACAAGACCAGAUGCUGUGGUUUCCAGGAUGCACUUGGCUUCCCAUCCUUUAUAACCUGGAGCAUUUUUUUUUUUUUGCAUUUGCCGUCUGUGUCUGAUGUGUCCACCAGAGACCAGUCCCAUCAGGUGUCCAUAGGGUUUAAGAACGUGGAUAUUGCAGCCCAAGAGACUUGGCUUUAGAUGUAAGAUCUGUUAUUUACUAGCUCUGUGACUUUGGGCAAGUUAUUAAGCUCUCUAAGCCUCAGGUUCCUCACCCUUAAUACAGGGACAAAAGCGGUACUCACACCAUGGAGUUGCACUGAGAAUUAAAUGAGACAGUGCAUGGCAACUGCUGAGCUCUAUGCCUGGCACUUAGCAAGUGCUCAAUAAACAUGCCAUUGUAAUACCUCAGAUGUUAUUUUCAUUAUACUAUGAAGUGAUAUUCUCUCAUUUCCAGAAGCCCUGUAUGGACAAAGAUUCCUUCAUAUCUCCUUAGUGUUUGCAUGAGGACUUCACCUCUCAAGUUGUCAACUGUGGCAUCUUGUCUGGGAAUGUUUAUCUUCUCUGACUUAUGAAGAGGCCAUGCCUCUGUCUCUUUGACCUCUUAGUUCUCUCAUUCUCAGUUUUAAUACACCCCUCUGAGUGAGUCUUACUGAUUAGUAUUCUAUAAACCAUUAAUGAUAGUUAUAUAAAACCUGUAAGAUUCCAUCCUUGUGACCCCCCCAGACAAAUAAGUUUAAAAUAUUGGUCAAUCCAUGAAAAUGACAUCUGGAUAUUUCUCAGUUCACUGAAGACCAUCAUUAAUAUUGGCCGUCCCCAUCUGUCUAAUAACAACCAUUUAUUGAGCUUACAGUACUUGCUCUCGUGGAGUUCUGAAGACUCAAAUGUCUUGUGAAAAUGCAAGUCUUCAUAGCACUACUGAUUUUUUUUUAAGCUAGAGGUUUAACCUAUCUUUCAUCUCUAUUCAUUAUUUGUUUUGGGGAAACUUCCUUACUUAGAUUGCCGAGUGACUUUUGCACAGAAAAAAGAAAUUAGUUCAACGGAUGAAAGUGAGAUGCUGAACCAGAUUUGAGAUUUUAGAGGUCAAUCCUUUGCAUGUCUUAUCAUUUCUUUGCAAACUAUAACCUUUUUGUUACCCUUGAGGACUAUCAUAACAUCAGAGCUGCUAUUCUUCAUACAAUAUUUAAUUCGUUUGAACAUAACAUGUUUUUAAAAAAAUAUUUACUAUGUGCAACUCAUGGAAAUGCUCCUAAAAUUGAGGGAGUUCUACUGAGCAAAAGAAAUGGAAUAUCCUGUUUAGAGACUGAGUGCAUGGCUUCCAAAGGCAAGGGCAAAACUUGCUAAUUUUAGAUGUUUAGGGAUGAAAUAUCUACUAGACCUUGUUUCAUCUUAGAGAGGCCCAACGGUAGCGUACUAGCAAGCUAAUGUUGAAUUUGCCCUCCCCACCUAUUUAUUGCCAGUGUUUCUGGAAACAGAAAAACAAAACAAAGGGGUAAGGAAAAAAAACAGCAAAGUCUGUAUGUAACUUGAGUUAGAGAAGUGCAGGAAACAAAUCAAGUAUACUAAGUUAGCAGUGCUCAAAGUCCCAUUCAACUUCAGAAUAGUAUACCUGGUAGAGUUUCACAAACCUUUCUCCUUUCUAGCCUGCUGCUUAUUAAGUUUAAAUGCCAGAACCAUUCUGAGAGCUUUGAAUGCCCAUAUAAGGCCUGGAGCCAGAGACAUGCCCCACACCCAUUUCUUUAUAUUUUCUGAAUUCCCAAGUAAACGAGAGAUCAGAAAAAGGGACAGUAAAGGAAAGGAGACAAAGAGGUCGACUCCCCAACAGUGUUUUCUUCCCCUUUGGUGUUUUGCAAAAAGCUGAAGAGAUGCUAAUGAUUCUUUAACCAACUGAAAGCAGCGUUAGAAUUCUGUCUAGAUAUUCUUGAACCUCUGGGCAGUGUUCCACCUUCCACACUCCAAUCCAUCCAUCAUUCAAUACUACUUAUGCUAGAUAAACUGGCUUGCCAUAGUUUAUUAUCAUGUUGUCCUCACAGACUAGUAUUCAAGGAGCCUCCCCUGACCACUUCCUUGGGACUCUUGGAAGUAAACAGAGAAACAGUUUAAAUGAAUGGUAAAAACCCAUGAAAUACAGUGAUUGUUUUUUUAGGGGUGGGGGGAGAGUAAAUAAUCAUAUGUCUUCAGUUGAGAGAAUCAUAAGGAUUUCUAGCACAUGAAUACACAUUCACAGCCCAAAAACAGAAGACAACUAAAAAAUCUCAGCAGAGGGACGUUUCCUCCUCAUUCCAUAGGAGGGUGGGGAUCUAUGGCACUCCAUUUUAAUGAUCAUCCCCAAAUUCCAUUUCUGUGCCCAACACAGUAAAGCAUUUCCAAGUACAGAGUGUCAGACAGGUGAACAACAACAAACAGCCUCUGUCAAAAUAGUUUGAAGCAUGCAAGAUGUAGAUUAUUGAGUACAGUACUUGAAAAAUUCUAAAUUAUGACAGUCCUCAAUGACAGCUCUGUGACCUGUCUCAUGUUAGGUACCUUUCUGGGUUUCUGCCCCUGAAAUUGAAAUAGUUCUACCAACUUCAUAAUUCCGUGAUUCUGUGAUUCGAUCAUUCUGACCUGUAUGUGGGAGAACUUGUUUAAAUUUUCUCCCCUUUAGAAUCCAACAAAUGAAUGCUAAAUUUGAACUCUAGGUUUCAGAGUAUACUUUAACAUAUUAAGAAAUUAUAACGAUUUCUAACAAGACUUGUGUACUACCUUGUCAACUACCAUUUUGCCUGUCAUAGUUUUGUCACGAUGUGGUUUUCUAUUUGCUUAAAUUUUACAAUCUGUGAUCUCUAUGUAUGUAUGGUUGAGUUUAGUUCCUUGAAACCAAAGCGUUAAAUAUCAGUAAGGGCUAUAUCAAGAACUUUAAAAAAAAGAAGUGUGGUUAAUAUAAAUUCCAUCUUCCACAGAAGAUCAUGACUUUCAGAAUAUGAACUCGUGAACAACCGAGGGAAAAGAUUCUUUUCUGCUUUAUAACUAACUUUAUUAUUUUAUUCUCUUGAGAAUUCCCUAUCGAACUUGCCAAUGAGGGUUUUAUCUAACAUGGCACUUUUCUGGAAUGUAAUCAUCACUGCCCCCAGUUAGUGAGAGAUUACUAUAACAAAUAGUGAAAACACUCACAUAGAUUCUCAUGAAUCAUGUUUUAAUUGAGAGCUAGCCAAAGAGGAAGGGUGGAGAGGUAAGGACAUAGAUUUAUCUCUGCUUGUGUGUUCAUUUGUACUUUUAUUAAGAGAAAAAACAUUUUCCUCUUUUUUAAAUAAAAUCUCAUCCUCUAGGAAGUAAAUUCAGGAGUAAGACGCUCCACACCUGUUUUGCAUAGUCCAAUUGAUUGCUAAUUUCAUUGUCUUUUGACAUGCUGGGAGGUAUGUUAAUUUGGAACACAUCUCUCUCAUAGAAGUAACAAUUAACAAAGGUAAGAUGCAUCUUUUACCUUGAUAAAGACACCUGCUCCAGUGUUAUAGAAAUAGUUAGGGAAGGUCGAGAUAUAUAUAUCUAGAAAGAUAUAAUUUCAAGGAAUCAUGCUGUCUCAGGAUUGAAAGGAAUAUUAAAGUCAGUGAAUGUUCAACUGAAGGCGGUGUGGAACUGUAGAAAGAAUGUAUGCUAUGGGAUUAGAGGACCUGGAUCAAAUCACAGCUUUGCAACUUAGUAGCUGUGUGUUUGGGGUAGUUUAUUUAACCUCUCUGAGCCUCGGUUUUCUCACCUAUAAAAUGGGGAUAGUGACUACAUUACGGAGUUGGUGAAAGGAUUGAAGAUAAUGUAUGUGAAGGACCUGGGACAGACAUAAUAAGCAUUUAGUAAAUGAUUGUGGUGGUUGUGAUCAUAAAUGUCCCACCAACUGCUCAUUAAGCUUAUUUGAACAUUCCCAGUGACAUGGAAUUCACCAGCUGUUCAGGUAGCCCAUCUCAUGUUUGGAGAACUCUUCAGUGUUAGUUCUUCCUUUUACUGAGCCUAGAACUUUUUCUAUGGUUCUGAUUCUUGCCGUUGGGGCUGCACAGAUUAAGUGUGUAAAUCAAUUAAGCAUGUAAUCUAGAACGGUAUAUAUGCUUUAAGAGUGGUGUGACCAGUGUGGAUACUAGAGAUUUAUCAACACAGUUUAGGAUCAAACUAGCUUCCUUUUCCUGAAACCCACCCUUUUAAUACCUAUUGAAUUUGCUAUUAAUUAAAGCCUGUUUGUCUUUUGUACUAGAGCUGGAGUCAAAGCUUGAGUCCUGCAUGCUGUACCUAUCACAGUUUUGAGGGAGAGACUUAAGUGCAGAACCUUACAAUUAAAUCUUUAUCAUAUUAAUUAAUAAACUGGUAAAAUUCCAUUUGAGUCAUACAAAUAUAAUUUGAGUAUUAAAUCAUAUAUAAUGUGGCAUACCUGUAAGGUCAUAUAGUUAUAAAUGGACAAGAACAUAGUGCACUUUAUUUAACAAACACCGAUACGGUAUUUAAUAUGUGCCAAGCACUGUUCUAAGUGCUUUUCAUAUAUUAACUCAUUUAAUUCUCAGUCAUAAUAGCCCUAUGUGGUAAGUAUUAUUAUCUUCAGAUAAGGAAACUGAGGCACAGAGAGAUUAAGUAAUUUAUCCAGGUCAAAUAGCUAGUAAGUAGCAGAGCUAGAAUUUGAACCAGCAUGUUUAGUUCGAGAACCUGUGUUCAUACUCAUGCCCUGUUCCUAAAUUUGUUAAAAUUUAGAAAAAUUGUUACAUGGAUUGUUAGGGCCCCUUAAAAGCAAGAAAAACAUGACAAAUUAACACUGCUGGAUUUACGACCUACUUUAUAAAAGCAUUAUUAGAGAAUAUCUUUUGAGUGCUAUGGAUUUGAUUUAUGAGAAUAUAAAAUGUUGACUAGAAGCAAUAUCUAGCUCCAUUCUAAGCAGGACUAGGCUUCUAAUGGUUCAUUUUAUAUUUCAACUAUAUAAUUGAGAAGGAAUUGAUGAAUGCCUCUGAAUUUUUAUCUUCUCAUAUGUACUUUUUCUGAUAAAAAUUGUUUUCAAAUGUUAAGACAGCAGUACAUCAUAUUACAGUUUUAUUUUUAAAUUAACAUACAGUAAAGUUGAUUGUGUGUGCGUACCUGCAUGUGUGUACAGUUCUAUGAAUUUAAUACGAUAGAUUCAUAUAACCACAGUCAAGAUAUAUAACAGUUCCAUUAUCCUAAGAAACUUCCUUGUAUUACCCCUUUGUAGUUACCUCCUCAACCCUUGGCAACCAUGGAUCUAAUCUCCAUCACUGUAGUUUUAUCUUUAUGAGAAUAUCAUAUAUAAGUUAAAUCCUACAGUAUAUAACUUUUUGAGACUGGCUUCUUUUACUUAACAUGCCUUUGAGAUUCAUCUGAGAUUUGCAUA